AUAAGCCUCGAGGAGCUGGCAAACGAGCUGUGAUCCGAGGGUGUCCGAAUGGGGAAACCCGGCUGGAGUCAUGUCCAGUCACCCACGUCUGAACACAUAGGGCGUGUGGAGGGAACGCGGGGAAGUGAAACAUCUCAGUACCCGCAGGAAGAGAAAACAAGAGUGAUUCCGUGAGUAGUGGCGAGCGAAAGCGGAUGAGGCUAAACCGGUCGCGUGUUCAAGCGGACAGGCGUUGCGUGGUCGGGGUUGUGGGACCCUUCUGAUCCAACUGUUCUUGGGUCGGGGAGUGAGAAAAUCGCGUCAUAGUCGAAGGGCCUUGAAUGGUCUGGCAUAGAGGGUGGUACCCCCGUAGACGAAAUGGCGUGGUCUCCUGAGGGUGUUCCCGAGUAGCACGGGGCCCGUGAAAUCUCGUGUGAAUCUGGCAGGACCACCUGCUAAGCCUAAAUACUCCCUGGUGACCGAUAGCGGACAAGUACCGUGAGGGAAAGGUGAAAAGUACCCCGGGAGGGGAGUGAAAUAGUACCUGAAACCGUGUGCCUACAAUCCGUCG
Molecule: ribosomal RNA, 550 nt
Filed under: uncultured bacterium
Lineage: Bacteria
Description: bacterial LSU rRNA
Rfam family: Bacterial large subunit ribosomal RNA
Source: RNAcentral